This 506-nucleotide ribosomal RNA is filed under the name uncultured bacterium. RNAcentral's name for it is "bacterial SSU rRNA". It matches the Rfam family "Bacterial small subunit ribosomal RNA", at positions 338 to 856 of the family's 1533-position model. The record is from RNAcentral.
CCUACGGGAGGCAGCAGUGGGGAAUCUUGCGCAAUGGGCGAAAGCCUGACGCAGCCAUGCCGCGUGAAUGAUGAAGGUCUUAGGAUUGUAAAAUUCUUUCACCGGGGACGAUAAUGACGGUACCCGGAGAAGAAGCCCCGGCUAACUUCGUGCCAGCAGCCGCGGUAAUACGAAGGGGGCUAGCGUUGCUCGGAAUUACUGGGCGUAAAGGGAGCGUAGGCGGAUAGUUUAGUCAGAGGUGAAAGCCCAGGGCUCAACCUUGGAAUUGCCUUUGAUACUGGCUAUCUUGAGUGUGGGAGAGGUAUGUGGAACUCCGAGUGUAGAGGUGAAAUUCGUAGAUAUUCGGAAGAACACCAGUGGCGAAGGCGACAUACUGGCCCAUUACUGACGCUGAGGCUCGAAAGCGUGGGGAGCAAACAGGAUUAGAUACCCUGGUAGUCCGACGCUGUAACGAUAGAGUGCUAGUUGUCGGUCGAUGCAUGCAUGUUCGGUGGACGCGAGCUACG